RNAcentral lists this non-coding RNA (30 nucleotides) under Homo sapiens (human). Lineage: Eukaryota; Metazoa; Chordata; Mammalia; Primates; Hominidae. The record is from RNAcentral.
UGUAAGGUUCACUUCACACUAUCCACCAAU